GAUGAACGCUAGCGGCAGGCUUAACACAUGCAAGUCGAGGGGUAACAGAAUAGCUUGCUAUUGCUGACGACCGGCGCACGGGUGCGUAACGCGUAUAGAACCUACCUUAUACAGAGGGAUACCCUUUAGAAAUGAAGAUUAAUACCUCAUGGUGAUAUUUAAUGGCAUCAUUAAAUAUUUAAAGAUUUAUCGGUAUAAGAUGGCUAUGCGUUCUAUUAGUUAGUUGGUAAGGUAACGGCUUACCAAGACAUCGAUAGAUAGGGGUCCUGAGAGGGAGAUCCCCCACACUGGUACUGAGACACGGACCAG
Molecule: ribosomal RNA, 309 nt
Filed under: uncultured bacterium
Lineage: Bacteria
Description: bacterial SSU rRNA
Rfam family: Bacterial small subunit ribosomal RNA
Source: RNAcentral